RNAcentral lists this ribosomal RNA (481 nucleotides) under uncultured bacterium. Its description in RNAcentral is "bacterial SSU rRNA". It matches the Rfam family "Bacterial small subunit ribosomal RNA", at positions 28 to 525 of the family's 1533-position model. The record is from RNAcentral.
GAUGAACGCUAGCGGCAGGCUUAACACAUGCAAGUCGAGGGGUAUAGUUCUUCGGAAUUAGAGACCGGCGCACGGGUGCGUAACGCGUAUGCAAUCUACCUUUCACAGAGGGAUAGCCCCAGAGAAAUUUGGAUUAAUACCUCAUAGUAUAGCAGUUUCGCAUGAAACCACUAUUAAAGUUCCAACGGUAAAGAUGAGUAUGCGUCCCAUUAGCUAGAUGGUAAGGUAACGGCUUACCAUGGCAAUGAUGGGUAGGGGUCCUGAGAGGGAGAUCCCCCACACUGGUACUGAGACACGGACCAGACUCCUACGGGAGGCAGCAGUGAGGAAUAUUGGACAAUGGGCGCAAGCCUGAUCCAGCCAUGCCGCGUGCAGGAAUAAGGUCCUAUGGAUUGUAAACUGCUUUUAUACAGGAAGAAACACUCCCUCGUGAGGGAACUUGACGGUACUGUAUGAAUAAGCAUCGGCUAAACUCCCGUGG